Molecule: long non-coding RNA, 283 nt
Filed under: Carica papaya (papaya)
Lineage: Eukaryota; Viridiplantae; Streptophyta; Magnoliopsida; Brassicales; Caricaceae
Description: long non-coding RNA (CPAP_LNC006797)
Source: RNAcentral
UAUCACAUUUUAAGAACCACCAAAUGUGUUGCCAGGUGAUAUAAGCAUUGGGAAAGGCUUAUGUAGGGAAUGACGCAUGGCCUUGUCGGGCAUGCACAUCACCAUGUUUUUCUUGGGAUUUCGUUGAUUUCCUUGUUGUAAACACAACAUUGGGUAGGCACACGAUCGUGUUUCCCUCAUAGAAAUGCUUUAGUGGUAAUACAUAGUUGUGCCUUAAAGGUCUGGCACAAGCUUUGGGCAAGGCUUAUGUGUAAAUUGACACACGACCAUGUCGGCCAUGCAC